AAACCAACAGGGAUUGCCUCAGUAACGGCGAGUGAAGCGGCAAAAGCUCAAAUUUGAAAUCUAGCACUUUCAGUGUUCGAGUUGUAAUUUGAAGAAGGUAACUUUGGUUUUGGCUCUUGUCUAUGUUCCUUGGAACAGGACGUCACAGAGGGUGAGAAUCCCGUGCGAUGAGAUGCCCAAUUCCAUGUAAAGUGCUUUCGAAGAGUCGAGUUGUUUGGGAAUGCAGCUCUAAGUGGGUGGUAAAUUCCAUCUAAAGCUAAAUAUUGGCGAGAGACCGAUAGCGAACAAGUACAGUGAUGGAAAGAUGAAAAGAACUUUGAAAAGAGAGUGAAAAAGUACGUGAAAUUGUUGAAAGGGAAGGGCUUGAGAUCAGACUUGGUAUUUUGCGUUCCCUUCCUUUUUGGUUGGGUUCCUCGCAGUUUACUGGGCCAGCAUCGGUUUGGAUGGUAGGAUAAUGACAUUGGAAUGUAGCUUUACUUCGGUGAAGUGUUAUAGACUUUGUUGAUACUGCCUWUCUWGACCKAGGA
This 527-nucleotide ribosomal RNA is filed under the name Dujonia zeylanoides. Its description in RNAcentral is "eukaryotic LSU rRNA". It matches the Rfam family "Eukaryotic large subunit ribosomal RNA", at positions 62 to 594 of the family's 3401-position model. The record is from RNAcentral. Lineage: Eukaryota; Fungi; Ascomycota; Pichiomycetes; Serinales; Debaryomycetaceae.